Molecule: non-coding RNA, 1518 nt
Organism: Musa acuminata subsp. malaccensis (wild Malaysian banana)
Lineage: Eukaryota; Viridiplantae; Streptophyta; Magnoliopsida; Zingiberales; Musaceae
Source: RefSeq, a predicted model, not a curated record
UCCAAAUUCUUCGUCUUCUUCGGCUCCUCUCGUCGAGGAGAUUCGUGAUGGAUUUCUCCGGAUUGAUCGCUUUGGUCCUUCUUUUUGGUCUGUUGAACUCGGUGCGCGUCGCAAGAUCCAAGCUUGAUGACGCGGUGGGAUUCUUGGAGAGGGCCAUGGAGCCGGAGUUCUUCGAUUGGAUGGUAGGGGUGAGGCGGAGGAUCCACGAGAACCCCGAGCUCGGGUACGAGGAAUUCUCCACCAGCGAGCUCAUCAGGAAGGAGCUGGAUGCUUUGGGGAUCCGUUACCAGCAUCCGGUCGCCGUCACCGGGGUAGUGGGUUACGUCGACACCGGGAAACCUCCCUUUGUCGCCCUCAGAGCCGACAUGGAUGCCCUGGCGAUGCAGGAGAACGUGGAAUGGGAGCGAAAGGGGCAGGGGAAGAUGCACGCAUGUGGCCAUGACGCACACGUCGCGAUGCUUCUUGGUGCUGCUAAGAUUCUUCAAGAGCACCGUGAUGAUCUCCCGGGAACUGUUGUCCUCCUUUUCCAACCUGCUGAGGAAGGAGGUGGCGGAGCAAAGAAAAUGAUAGAUGCUGGAGUUGUUGAAAACGUUGAUGCUAUCCUUGGGUUUCAUAUAACUAAUGAUGUACCUCUUGGUGUCGUGCAAUCCAGGCCUGGACCUACAAUUGCUGGGAGUGGGACCUUUGAGGCUGUUAUAAGUGGAAAGGGAGGUCAUGCUGCCAUUUCUCAGCACACGAUAGAUCCAAUUUUGGCUGCAUCAAAUGUGAUUGUGAGCUUGCAGCAUCUUGUCUCACGUGAAGCCGAUCCUUUGGAUUCACAGGUAGUAACAAUUGCAAAAUUUCAAGGAGGAAAAGCGUUCAAUGUGAUUCCAGAUUCAGUCACCAUUGGUGGCACCUUCCGAGCAUUUUCCAAAGAAAGGUUUUUUCAACUCAAGCAAUGAAUUGAAGAGGUGAUUGUUGCACAAGCAUCUGUUCAGAGGUGCAGAGCGACUGUUGACUUCCUCGACAAAGAUCAUCCUUUCUUCCCUGUUACAGUCAAUAGCAAGGAUCUCCAUGUGCAUUUCCAGAAGGUGGCUGCAGAGAUGCUUGGAAUUAGCAACGUACAGGAAAGAAAGCCAGUCAUGGUAGCUGAAGACUUUGCUUUCUUCACCGAGGUUGUCCCUGCUGCAUACUACUACUUCUUCGGGAUGAUGAAUGAGACACAGGGACCAGUGUACCCUGCGCACUCACCAUAUUUUACAGUCAAUGAGGCAGCACUCCCCUAUGGUGCAGCACUUCAAGCCUCUCUGGCAAUAAGAUUUCUGUUUGAGAACCACACCCCCUCUAUCCACCAUGAAUGUUCACGAUGAACUCUGAAUACAUUUCAUCAUUCCUGGUGUCCUCCAUUGCAGAAGAGCCUGAAGCCAAAAAUCCUAUAUUUAGGUAAGAUUAUGAUGUACAUUUAUAUCGACACCAGAAACAAUCUCAGUUAUUUUACCGAAUAAUGUCAAGAGUUAUACAAGUCAUUUUUUGUCGUAA